ACGCUGGCGGCGUGCCUAAUACAUGCAAGUCGAACGCUUCUUUUCCCACCGGAGCUUGCUCCACCGGGAAAAGAGGAGUGGCGAACGGGUGAGUAACACGUGGGUAACCUGCCCAUCAGAAGGGGAUAACACUUGGAAACAGGUGCUAAUACCGUAUAACAAUCGAAACCGCAUGGUUUCGUUUUGAAAGGCGCUUUACGGUGCCGCUGAUGGAUGGACCCGCGGUGCAUUAGCUAGUUGGUGAGGUAACGGCUCACCAAGGCCACGAUGCAUAGCCGACCUGAGAGGGUGAUCGGCCACAUUGGGACUGAGACACGGCCCAAACUCCUACGGGAGGCAGCAGUAGGGAAUCUUCGGCAAUGGACGAAAGUCUGACCGAGCAACGCCGCGUGAGUGAAGAAGGUUUUCGGAUCGUAAAACUCUGUUGUUAGAGAAGAACAAGGGUGAGAGUAACUGUUCACCCCUUGACGGUAUCUAACCAGAAAGCCACGGCUAACUACGUGCCAGCAGCCGCGGUAAUACGUAGGUGGCAAGCGUUGUCCGGAUUUAUUGGGCGUAAAGCGAGCGCAGGCGGUUUCUUAAGUCUGAUGUGAAAGCCCCCGGCUCAACCGGGGAGGGUCAUUGGAAACUGGGAGACUUGAGUGCAGAAGAGGAGAGUGGAAUUCCAUGUGUAGCGGUGAAAUGCGUAGAUAUAUGGAGGAACACCAGUGGCGAAGGCGGCUCUCUGGUCUGUAACUGACGCUGAGGCUCGAAAGCGUGGGGAGCAAACAGGAUUAGAUACCCUGGUAGUCCACGCCGUAAACGAUGAGUGCUAAGUGUUGGAGGGUUUCCGCCCUUCAGUGCUGCAGCUAACGCAUUAAGCACUCCGCCUGGGGAGUACGACCGCAAGGUUGAAACUCAAAGGAAUUGACGGGGGCCCGCACAAGCGGUGGAGCAUGUGGUUUAAUUCGAAGCAACGCGAAGAACCUUACCAGGUCUUGACAUCCUUUGACCACUCUAGAGAUAGAGCUUCCCCUUCGGGGGCAAAGUGACAGGUGGUGCAUGGUUGUCGUCAGCUCGUGUCGUGAGAUGUUGGGUUAAGUCCCGCAACGAGCGCAACCCUUAUUGUUAGUUGCCAUCAUUUAGUUGGGCACUCUAGCAAGACUGCCGGUGACAAACCGGAGGAAGGUGGGGAUGACGUCAAAUCAUCAUGCCCCUUAUGACCUGGGCUACACACGUGCUACAAUGGGAAGUACAACGAGUCGCGAAGUCGCGAGGCUAAGCUAAUCUCUUAAAGCUUCUCUCAGUUCGGAUUGUAGGCUGCAACUCGCCUACAUGAAGCCGGAAUCGCUAGUAAUCGCGGAUCAGCACGCCGCGGUGAAUACGUUCCCGGGCCUUGUACACACCGCCCGUCACACCACGAGAGUUUGUAACACCCGAAGUCGGUGAGGUAACCUUUUUGGAGCCAG
This 1448-nucleotide ribosomal RNA is filed under the name Enterococcus mundtii. RNAcentral describes it as "bacterial SSU rRNA". It matches the Rfam family "Bacterial small subunit ribosomal RNA". Lineage: Bacteria; Bacillati; Bacillota; Bacilli; Lactobacillales; Enterococcaceae. The record is from RNAcentral.